This is a small nucleolar RNA of Gorilla gorilla gorilla (western lowland gorilla), 72 nucleotides long. Ensembl annotates it as small nucleolar RNA, C/D box 114-15. Its record names the gene SNORD114-15. Lineage: Eukaryota; Metazoa; Chordata; Mammalia; Primates; Hominidae. The record is from Ensembl.
UGGAUCGAUGAUGACCACUGGUGGCGUAUAAGUCAUACAUGAUGAAUAUGUGUCUGGAACUCUGAGGUCCUU